RNAcentral lists this ribosomal RNA (1403 nucleotides) under Staphylococcus aureus. RNAcentral's name for it is "bacterial SSU rRNA". It matches the Rfam family "Bacterial small subunit ribosomal RNA". The record is from RNAcentral. Lineage: Bacteria; Bacillati; Bacillota; Bacilli; Caryophanales; Staphylococcaceae.
AGCGAACGGACGAGAAGCUUGCUUCUCUGAUGUUAGCGGCGGACGGGUGAGUAACACGUGGAUAACCUACCUAUAAGACUGGGAUAACUUCGGGAAACCGGAGCUAAUACCGGAUAAUAUUUUGAACCGCAUGGUUCAAAAGUGAAAGACGGUCUUGCUGUCACUUAUAGAUGGAUCCGCGCUGCAUUAGCUAGUUGGUAAGGUAACGGCUUACCAAGGCAACGAUGCAUAGCCGACCUGAGAGGGUGAUCGGCCACACUGGAACUGAGACACGGUCCAGACUCCUACGGGAGGCAGCAGUAGGGAAUCUUCCGCAAUGGGCGAAAGCCUGACGGAGCAACGCCGCGUGAGUGAUGAAGGUCUUCGGAUCGUAAAACUCUGUUAUUAGGGAAGAACAUAUGUGUAAGUAACUGUGCACAUCUUGACGGUACCUAAUCAGAAAGCCACGGCUAACUACGUGCCAGCAGCCGCGGUAAUACGUAGGUGGCAAGCGUUAUCCGGAAUUAUUGGGCGUAAAGCGCGCGUAGGCGGUUUUUUAAGUCUGAUGUGAAAGCCCACGGCUCAACCGUGGAGGGUCAUUGGAAACUGGAAAACUUGAGUGCAGAAGAGGAAAGUGGAAUUCCAUGUGUAGCGGUGAAAUGCGCAGAGAUAUGGAGGAACACCAGUGGCGAAGGCGACUUUCUGGUCUGUAACUGACGCUGAUGUGCGAAAGCGUGGGGAUCAAACAGGAUUAGAUACCCUGGUAGUCCACGCCGUAAACGAUGAGUGCUAAGUGUUAGGGGGUUUCCGCCCCUUAGUGCUGCAGCUAACGCAUUAAGCACUCCGCCUGGGGAGUACGACCGCAAGGUUGAAACUCAAAGGAAUUGACGGGGACCCGCACAAGCGGUGGAGCAUGUGGUUUAAUUCGAAGCAACGCGAAGAACCUUACCAAAUCUUGACAUCCUUUGACAACUCUAGAGAUAGAGCCUUCCCCUUCGGGGGACAAAGUGACAGGUGGUGCAUGGUUGUCGUCAGCUCGUGUCGUGAGAUGUUGGGUUAAGUCCCGCAACGAGCGCAACCCUUAAGCUUAGUUGCCAUCAUUAAGUUGGGCACUCUAAGUUGACUGCCGGUGACAAACCGGAGGAAGGUGGGGAUGACGUCAAAUCAUCAUGCCCCUUAUGAUUUGGGCUACACACGUGCUACAAUGGACAAUACAAAGGGCAGCGAAACCGCGAGGUCAAGCAAAUCCCAUAAAGUUGUUCUCAGUUCGGAUUGUAGUCUGCAACUCGACUACAUGAAGCUGGAAUCGCUAGUAAUCGUAGAUCAGCAUGCUACGGUGAAUACGUUCCCGGGUCUUGUACACACCGCCCGUCACACCACGAGAGUUUGUAACACCCGAAGCCGGUGGAGUAACCUUUUAGGAG